This 436-nucleotide unclassified non-coding RNA is filed under the name uncultured Tomentella. Its description in RNAcentral is "sequence contains ITS2". The stretch from base 1 to 155 matches the Rfam family "5.8S ribosomal RNA". Lineage: Eukaryota; Fungi; Basidiomycota; Agaricomycetes; Thelephorales; Thelephoraceae. The record is from RNAcentral.
AACUUUCGACAAUGGAUCUCUUGGCUCUCACAUCGAUGAAGAACGCAGCGAAAUGCGAUAAGUAAUGUGAAUUGCAGAAUUCAGUGAAUCAUCGAAUCUUUGAACGCACCUUGCGCCCUUUGGCUAUUCUGAAGGGCAUGCCUGUUUGAGUAUCAUGAACACCUCAACUCUCAUGGUCCUCCAUGAUGAGCUUGGACUUUGGGGGUCUUGCCGGCCUAGUGUCGGCUCCUCUCAAAUGGAUCAGCUUGCCAGUGUUUGGUGGCGUCACAGGUGUGAUAACUAUCUACGCUUGUGGUUUUCUGCCAUAUAACCUUCAGUGAUGGAGGUUCUCUGGAGCUCACAGAUGUCUCUCCUUGGGGAGGACAGCUUUUGAACGUUUGAUCUCAAAUCAGGUAGGACUACCCGCUGAACUUAAGCAUAUCAAUAAGCGGAGGCU